CGAACGGGUGCGUAACACGUGGACAACAUUCCGGGAAGCGGGGGAUAGCCCAGGGAAACUUGGAUUAAUACCGCAUGUGGACGAGUGAGGCAUCUCACGAAGUCUAAAGGUGGGGACCGUAAGGCCUGCCACUUCCCGAUUGGUCCGCGGCCUAUCAGCUAGUUGGUGAGGUAAAGGCUCACCAAGGCUACGACGGGUAGCUGGUCUUAGAGGACGACCAGCCACACUGGGACUGAGACACGGCCCAGACACCUACGGGUGGCAGCAGUCGAGAAUCUUUCACAAUGGGGGAAACCCUGAUGGAGCGACGCCGCGUGGAGGAUAAGGUCUUCGGAUUGUAAACUCCUGUCAUGCGAGAGCAAGGUUGUUUAGUUAAUAGUUAGGCAACUUGAUAGUACCGCAAGAGGAAGAGACGGCUAACUCUGUGCCAGCAGCCGCGGUAAUACAGAGGUCUCAAGCGUUGUUCGGAAUCACUGGGCGUAAAGGGUGCGUAGGUGGCGUGGUAAGUCAGAUGUGAAAGCCCAGGGGC
This 529-nucleotide ribosomal RNA is filed under the name uncultured bacterium. RNAcentral describes it as "bacterial SSU rRNA". It matches the Rfam family "Bacterial small subunit ribosomal RNA", at positions 99 to 609 of the family's 1533-position model. The record is from RNAcentral.